RNAcentral lists this transfer RNA (86 nucleotides) under Planctomycetota bacterium. RNAcentral's name for it is "tRNA-Leu". It matches the Rfam family "tRNA". Rfam says of the family: Transfer RNA (tRNA) molecules are approximately 80 nucleotides in length. The record is from RNAcentral. Lineage: Bacteria; Pseudomonadati; Planctomycetota.
GCCGAGGUGGCGGAAUUGGCAGACGCGCUAGGUUGAGGGCCUAGUGGACCUUCGGGUCCAUGGGGGUUCAAGUCCCCCCCUCGGCA